Molecule: ribosomal RNA, 497 nt
Filed under: uncultured bacterium
Lineage: Bacteria
Description: partial 16S ribosomal RNA
Rfam family: Bacterial small subunit ribosomal RNA
Source: RNAcentral
GACGAACGCUGGCGGCGUGCCUAAUACAUGCAAGUUGAGCGCUGAAGGUUGGUACUUGUACCGACUGGAUGAGCAGCGAACGGGUGAGUAACGCGUGGGGAAUCUGCCUUUGAGCGGGGGACAACAUUUGGAAACGAAUGCUAAUACCGCAUAAAAACUUUAAACACAAGUUUUAAGUUUGAAAGAUGCAAUUGCAUCACUCAAAGAUGAUCCCGCGUUGUAUUAGCUAGUUGGUGAGGUAAAGGCUCACCAAGGCGAUGAUACAUAGCCGACCUGAGAGGGUGAUCGGCCACAUUGGGACUGAGACACGGCCCAAACUCCUACGGGAGGCAGCAGUAGGGAAUCUUCGGCAAUGGACGAAAGUCUGACCGAGCAACGCCGCGGGAGUGAAGAAGGUUUUCGGAUCGUAAAAAUCUGUUGGUAGAGAAGAACGUUGGGGAGAGUGGAAAGCUCAUCAAGUGACGGUAACUACCCAGAAAGGGACGGCUAACUACGUG